Molecule: long non-coding RNA, 735 nt
Filed under: Hordeum vulgare
Lineage: Eukaryota; Viridiplantae; Streptophyta; Magnoliopsida; Poales; Poaceae
Description: long non-coding RNA (HVUL_LNC016018)
Source: RNAcentral
ACCGCGCGGUGGUUGGGCAACAUGAGAUUUCCCUAAUUACAUUUGUAAUUGAUCUUAACACUCCCCCUAAUCUAUGCGUGACUGUGACACCCUCGAUUUAAUCGUACGCUAAUCAUACACGCAAAUGCAUACGAUCAAACUCAAGGACUCACUGGAAGAUAUCACAACACAACUCUAGACACAAAUAAAACAAAACAAGCUUCAUAUUACAAGCUAGGGGCCUCGAGGACUAGAAAACAGAAGCUCGAUAAACACACGAGUCAGCGGAAGCAACAAAUAUCUGAGUACAGACAUUAAACAUGGGGUGCCUUAGAGAAGGCUAGCAUAAAAGAUACAACGAUCGAAUGAGGAGAGGCCUCCUACCUGGGAACCUCCUAACUACUCCUGAUCUUCAGCGGCCUCCACGUAGUAGUAGGCACCGUCGGGGUAGCAGUCAUCGUCGGCGGGAUACUCCAUCUCCUCGGCUCCAACAUCCGGUCGCAGCAAUGGAUCAAGGGGACAAAGGGGGAGCAAAGCAACGGUGAAUACUCAUCCAAAGUACUCGCAAGACUUAUAUCAGAACUAUGUUAAGUAUGCAUCAGCAUCAAAUAAGGGAUUGGUUAUAUGUGGACUGACUGCAGCAAUGUGAGAAUGAGAGGGAAGGCCUAGUCCUAUCAAAGACUAGCAUCUUCAGGGGGUCUUGCAGCAAUAGACGAGAGUAGAGCAGGGUAACACAAUUAAUAGUCAUAUUGUUGC